GUCUAGGAUAACUCAGUUGGUAGAGCGUGAGACUCUUAAUCUCGAGAACGUGAGUUUGAGCCCCACGUUGGGUG
Molecule: non-coding RNA, 74 nt
Organism: Podarcis lilfordi (Lilford's wall lizard)
Lineage: Eukaryota; Metazoa; Chordata; Lepidosauria; Squamata; Lacertidae
Source: the annotation of a GenBank genome assembly